UACGAAGGGGGCUAGCGUUGCUCGGAAUCACUGGGCGUAAAGCGCACGUAGGCGGCUUUUUAAGUCAGGGGUGAAAUCCUGGAGCUCAACUCCAGAACUGCCUUUGAUACUGAGAAGCUUGAGUCCGGGAGAGGUGAGUGGAACUGCGAGUGUAGAGGUGAAAUUCGUAGAUAUUCGCAAGAACACCAGUGGCGAAGGCGGCUCACUGGCCCAUAACUGACGCUGAGGCACGAAAGCGUGGGGAGCAAACAGG
RNAcentral lists this ribosomal RNA (253 nucleotides) under uncultured bacterium. RNAcentral's name for it is "partial 16S ribosomal RNA". It matches the Rfam family "Bacterial small subunit ribosomal RNA", at positions 524 to 776 of the family's 1533-position model. The record is from RNAcentral.